Sycon ciliatum is the source of this 3036-nucleotide long non-coding RNA. RefSeq lists it as uncharacterized. The record is from RefSeq and is a predicted model, not a curated record. The transcript has 2 exons. NCBI's taxonomy places the organism in Eukaryota, Metazoa, Porifera, Calcarea, Leucosolenida, Sycettidae.
GCUACUGCUGGGUGAGGGGUCCGCAUAGUCCUCGUCCUCGGUGCUGCUCUCCUCACUCUCCAUUCUACCUCAAUACACCUGACGAUAACUAAAAACUGUCGUGCGGUCGAAAGGCAAGGACAAUUGUCAUCUACUUCGAGUGUUGAGAAUUGAAUUCAAAUUUUCCCGGGGGCCGGCGUCGUCAUUCACAUCACCUGCUCAGGUAUUCAAAUUUGUGCGGCUUUGAGCAGCGCAUGGGGUGCGUAUUGUUCGAACCUCGAAAUCAAAAGUCGACGAUUUCGCGAGGUUGUGCACAGCUCCGCGAUGGCCAACUACGCCAGGUACAAUCCCAAAGGGUCUGCCUACCAGCAUACAAACUUUCAGCUUGUCAGUAUAAAAAGGAAACGUAAAACAGGCUUUUGAAAAUCGGCAGUCAGACUAUUCCCUUCAUUCGGUCGCAUGGCUGUCAACAAUACGAAUGAAACAAGGAAUUAAAAAAGUAUGUUCUCGAUCACGAGGAGCAAUGCGAACAACAAAAUCCCGCCUUCGUAGCUUCACGAUACACUGGUCGCGCUAAGAAACUCUGUCAAACAAAACUCUAUCGUACACUCCAGUCAACUAAGGAAAAUGCACUGAUAACAAGCUAUACCGUUGCCAGGUGGCCUCCUCAUCUACUAGGGUCAUUUGACUGGAAAUACCAUCCCUUGGUCCUGCUUGCGAUAGUCUUCUGGGACAGGUGGUCGCCUUAUCAGAGUGGUCGCUUUGACAGGUUUCACUGUAUCUUCAAGGGCAAGGUAAGAGACCGACGUCAAUUACAUCAGCACGCAUCCAAGAGGGAAUUUCUACGUGGAGGCUCACCAGAUAUUGAGCACAUAGGACGCCAGUGAUCUGUGCAUUCUUAACGCACUCCACCAUCAAUGCGUAGGCAUCUCGAGACACCAGGAAUGGGAUGAUUGAGUCAAUUCUACAACAUUGGCGAAGACCCACGGAAUCGACUCGGACAUCGGCGGGAUCAUCCACGAGCAUCGGCUACGAUGGCUCGGCCAUAUUGGCCGCAUGGACGAUGACCGUCUGCUCAAGCGUAUUCUGUUUGGGGAGCUCCCCGCAACUCGACCUCUGCACGGCCCACGCAAGUGUUGGCAGGAUGUGGUUGUGGAUGAUGUCAACUGCAUUCAUCCACCUGUACAGGAGAAGGAAGGGCUCGACAUUGCCCAGAAUUGCUCGGCGUGGAAGUAAUCCACCGUCGUCCUCAGCCGCGUGAUGUCUCCGCCGAGCCAGAAUAUCGUUGUGCAUUCGGGAAGACGCGCCGCCGGCCCCCGCGAGAUCAAGCGCCACGAACCUUUCUGCCGGUUGCCUCCGAAUUAGUCCUUCGCCUAUGGCAAUGAGCAAGUUCAAGGUUCAAGUAAUAGUUGUGUGCAGAAGAAGGUUUCUCUGACGGCUGAAGACGGAGAAUGGAAGGACGAGAAGGAACAAAGGAAGGAGCGGAGCAAUGCCUUUAUGAUCAAGAAAAUACUGUUCAAAGAAGCGUGUGCUCGUACAAGAUGUGUUCCCAAGACCAUUAUCCUGCAGGUCAGCUGAAAAUAACAUUGACGUACUAGCAACAUGUACAUGUACCGGUAUGUUCAAGCAGUCCCAAGCUCUUAGAUAUCUUUACUGGUGGGAUACAAAUUCUGACGGCUCCUGUCAAUUACCUUUUUACUUAAAAAAAAACGUUGUGCCCAUUGCAGCGUACGACAUUUGCUACAUCAGUCGAUGCGCCAAGCCAGCUGAGUGGGUCUUUUUAUUUUUUUCGCGCGAAAGUUUAUGUGGUGAACUGUGUUGGUAAAGAUGAAGAUGUCAGUCAAUGAAAUUAGCUAUAUUUCUUGUGUCUAACUAACCCUGUACGGAUCGAACUGACGAUGUCCGAGUGCGACAAAUGUCCUGAAGUCUGCUCCUAUUAGCUAGGUAUCUAGAAAUUUCAACUUGAGUGUCAAGUGAAGACUUUGCCAGUUUCAGACGAGAGAAUUCUCGCUUCACGAUUUUCCUGGUGUGUGGAGAUACGUCUGAAUGCCGACCCACCACACCCGACAUGAUGCUUCGGCAGGAAUGCAGAAAGGAUCAUAUGUAGUGCCUGCUCAGCAUUACAUCCAUUGCGUAGCAGCAAUGUGCCAUCCUUCCGCGACUUGGGUGGAAUGACGUGCAAGUGGUGCUCCAGGGUCAACUUCAAUUUGCCGAGCACGUAUGCCGCUGGCUUGGGGUCAGCAGUUGGGUGCACAGUCUCUGUAUACAAAUCAUGCACUGUCGUCAACAAUAUGGCACCCUUGUCCAGCAAUUCACGUGCUAUAGCGGCAAUGACUAUAUUGGGAAGAUCACUCUCGGCACCUUCCGUGCUGUAUUGAGAGAUGAUGCUUCGCAAUUGGUGGUCUGUGCUUGGUGCACUGUCGGCAGGGAGCAUGUCAAUUUGCUUUCGGUAGCAGCAUCUACAAAAUCGACUCGUCUGAAAUCCUGACGUUGUGCAUGCUACGCAACACAUGCUCUGCAAGUUGAAAGUUUGGUGACUUCCACCUGUCCUGUGUUCUGGUGUGAGCCUCGACUUACACCAAGCACAUGUUGCAUGGCCCACACACUGCUGGUAACUUAUGGGCCGGGCACUGAACCGGUUCGCACUGUUCUUUCAGACUGUGCACGUGCAGUUUGUCUGCAGGACAGUGUACGGAUGCCGCUGCGCUGCAAUCAUGUACAUUGCAUGUACUUUGGCAGACUGGUGGCUUAUUUUCUUUCGCUGCUGUGCAUACUUGGCGUCGUAGUGCUUUGACGCACUUCCAACAAAUGCAUUGGCCUGGGCGUUCUCUCACAGACCACACACUGCUGGUAAUGGGUCGGGCACAGAACCGGUUCGCACUGUUCUUUCGGACUGUGCACGCGCAGUUUGUCUGCAGGACAGUGUACGGAUGCCGCUGCGCUGCAAUCAUGUACACUGCAUAUGCUUUGGCUGACUGGUGGCUUAUUUUCUUUCGCUGCUGUGCAUACUUGGCGUCGUAGUGCUUUGACGCACUUGCAAUAAAUGCAUUGGCCUGA